GCUCAGAGGGUGGUAAUUAAGGGGUCAAACCUGCCUGGAGGCUGGUGCCAAGUGGGAUCCUGCACAGUCUGUCCUGGGACUUGGCUUGUUUAACAUCUCUGUGAGCUGCCUGGAAGAGGUGAUUGUCGCAGAUGGAGAGGUCAACACACGCUGAUCGAUUUGAAAGCAUCCAGUUCCAAUUCCUUUUUCAAACAUCCCCAGAAGAUUCAUCAGCUGCGUGAGCUCUAUUCUGAACACUUAUCUGGAGUCAGGCUACGGAGAAAGCUUUAUGCCAACUUGGAAGUCCACUGCAGUUAGCAAAGCUCUGCACGUUUCCUAAUGCAGAGUUCACUGUAUCUGAAAUGUUAAGUUUGCAGCAGGAUUGGUUGAAGAAUAAUAUUCCUGCACAGCUUUCUCUCUCAGCAGAAGUAAUGCCU
This 416-nucleotide long non-coding RNA is filed under the name Struthio camelus australis. RNAcentral describes it as "lncRNA (ENSSCUG00000019071.1)". The record is from RNAcentral. Lineage: Eukaryota; Metazoa; Chordata; Aves; Struthioniformes; Struthionidae.